RNAcentral lists this ribosomal RNA (459 nucleotides) under uncultured bacterium. Its description in RNAcentral is "partial 16S ribosomal RNA". It matches the Rfam family "Bacterial small subunit ribosomal RNA", at positions 338 to 795 of the family's 1533-position model. The record is from RNAcentral.
CCUACGGGAGGCUGCAGUGAGGAAUAUUUGUCAAUGGCCGGAAGGCUGAACCAGCCAAGCCGCGUGGAGGACGAAGGUGCCAAGCAUUGUAAACUUCUUUUGUCAAGGGACAAAAUCAGGCUCGAGAGCCUGACCGAGGGUACUUGAAGAAAAAGCAUCGUCUAACUCCGUGCCAGCAGCCGCGGUAAUACGGAGGAUGCGAGCGUUAUCCGGAUUUAUUGGGUUUAAAGGGUGCGUAGGGGGGCUGUUAAGUCAGCGGUAAAAGCCCGGGGCUCAACCCCGGCGAGCCGUUGAAACUGGGUGUCUUGAGAAGUCGAGGGGUAUGCGGAAUGCGCAGUGUAGCGGUGAAAUGCUUAGAUAGCGCGCAGAACUCUGAGUGCGAAGGCAGCAUACCGGAGGCGAUCUGACGCUGAGGCACGAAAGCGUGGGUAUCGAACAGGAUUAGAUACCCGAGUAGUC